This is a long non-coding RNA of Anolis carolinensis (green anole), 564 nucleotides long. RefSeq lists it as uncharacterized. The transcript has 2 exons. NCBI's taxonomy places the organism in Eukaryota, Metazoa, Chordata, Lepidosauria, Squamata, Anolidae. The record is from RefSeq and is a predicted model, not a curated record.
GACCUCUUUUCUCUUUCCACGUGGAUCUUCCCUGCAAGAACUUUCACCUCUUAUCCAUUCCUUUGCUAUGGUGGGCCUGGGAGAGCAUGGCUCCAAGGACCUGCACCAGCCUAGCAGCGGGCCUCUUUCCUCCCCAGCCCCGGCUGAAUCCCUGAAGGACCCAGUUGGGAUGGCAUCCCUGCGCAUGGCGCUAUCCCCGCCGCCACCCCAGGGAUUUGGAGCAAGACGUACUUGGAUGAAGGAGCCACCUCUGGCUGGCAUCAGGCAAGUGGGUGCUCCGAUCAAACCCAGGCCAAGCUUACCUGGCGCCCUUCACGGCCUGCACUGCCUGCACCACUUGAUGUGACUGAACAAAAACACUCCUCAGAGCCACAGAGAACCCGCUCAGGGAAAUUCUGAACAGAAAAACAGCCUGAAGGAAAAGGAUUAAGGAAGUCUCCUCCUCUCUGCCCAACAGUAUUCUGGUCCAGACUGUAACCUAUGGCAACUGCUUUUUAUUUUAAAAGAUGCAGAAUGCUAAAUGAAAUAAAAUAAAUGGGGUCUGAUCCACAGUUAUUUCAUUUA